This 614-nucleotide ribosomal RNA is filed under the name uncultured fungus. RNAcentral's name for it is "LSU rRNA". It matches the Rfam family "Eukaryotic large subunit ribosomal RNA", at positions 23 to 664 of the family's 3401-position model. The record is from RNAcentral. Lineage: Eukaryota; Fungi.
ACCCGCUGAACUUAAGCAUAUCAAUAAGCGGAGGAAAAGAAACCAACAGGGAUUGCCCCAGUAACGGCGAGUGAAGCGGCAACAGCUCAAAUUUGAAAUCUGGCUUCGGCCCGAGUUGUAAUUUGUAGAGGAUGCUUUUGGUGAGGUGCCUUCUGAGUUCCCUGGAACGGGACGCCAGAGAGGGUGAGAGCCCCGUAUAGUCGGCCACCGAUCCUUUGUAAAGCUCCUUCGACGAGUCGAGUAGUUUGGGAAUGCUGCUCAAAAUGGGAGGUAUAUCUCUUCUAAAGCUAAAUAUUGGCCAGAGACCGAUAGCGCACAAGUAGAGUGAUCGAAAGAUGAAAAGCACUUUGAAAAGAGGGUUAAAUAGUACGUGAAAUUGUUGAAAGGGAAGCGCUUGUGACCAGACUUGUGCCGGGCUGAUCAUCCAGUGUUCUCACUGGUGCACUCUGCCCGGCUCAGGCCAGCGUCGGUUCUCGCAGGUGGACAAAAGCUUCGGGAACGUGGCCCCUCCGGGGGUGUUAUAGCCCGUUGCUCAAUACACUUGUGGGGACCGAGGUUCGCGCUCUGCAAGGACGCUGGCAUAAUGGUCAUCAGCGGCCCGUCUUGAAACACGG